Triticum aestivum (bread wheat) is the source of this 682-nucleotide long non-coding RNA. RefSeq lists it as uncharacterized. The transcript is spliced from 4 exons. Lineage: Eukaryota; Viridiplantae; Streptophyta; Magnoliopsida; Poales; Poaceae. The record is from RefSeq and is a predicted model, not a curated record.
GCCCGCUCCUGUUCCCGAAGAACGCGAGUGUCCGCCCAUCCCUAUCCCCCAAAGAACUCCUCUUUAUCCAUUGACGGGAGCCGGGAGGAGUCUAAAUCAGGACCGGCGGCUGGAGCGCGAGGAUCUCGUAUCGCCCGGAUCCCAGGAUAUGCAUAUUGCGAUUAUCAAUAACAUGGAGCAUGGACGCAAUCCUGGUAACUGAUGCCAUGGAUUGCCCACUUUGCAAAAAACCCGCCUGCCGUAUGUGGAGAUCUCGACGGACCGCCCUGCCACAUUUCAGUUCCAAUGACAACCUACUAUUGGGUUGAAGCUUUUGUCCCAUGCUGCAACAGGCGUGUGAUCGGGUCAUGCAUUGAGGAUAUGCGGUCCAUUGCUGCCAGAGAGAAUAAGCCCAUGUGCAAGACAUUCUUUGUAACCAGAGAACUACUGGAGUAUGAAGUGUUGAUUGAUCAUGGAGCUAAGAAGACCAGGAUUCAUGGUGAUGGCUGGCAUAGGUUUCUUGAUGAGUAUGUCAUGCGGCCUGGCGACAUGGUAUAUAUCUGCCUUCCCCGAGGCAAUGGAAGGUUUUUUGUGGAUGUCGAGAGAGAUGGCGUGAAACAUUUAUGUGAUAUGUAACAUUUUUUGGAGCAUUUUAGCUUCGUUGAAUAAUGCAUAUCAGCUUAAAAAUUUGAUCUUUUGUCCA